UCCUUGAUGGCUUAGUGGUGAAGAACCUGCCUGCCAAUGCAGGAAACAUGGGUUUGAUCCCUGGUCCAGGAG
This 72-nucleotide transfer RNA is filed under the name Bos taurus (domestic cattle). It matches the Rfam family "tRNA". From Rfam's summary of the family: Transfer RNA (tRNA) molecules are approximately 80 nucleotides in length. Their secondary structure includes four short double-helical elements and three loops (D, anti-codon, and T loops). Lineage: Eukaryota; Metazoa; Chordata; Mammalia; Artiodactyla; Bovidae. The record is from Rfam by way of RNAcentral. RNAcentral also lists the same sequence under 5 other names.